CAAAUCAGGCAAUAAAGUUACAGCUUGUGAAUGAAGAGUAGAAAAAAAUUGGAAAUGAAGGUUCUAGAAGCCGGAUCCAUAAAAAACAAAGAAGCUUGAAAUCGGAGAAACAGAUGCAGAAAAACACGCAGUUGUUGUAAGAAUGUAAUAAAAAGUUACGGAGAUGAAGGAGGCGUUGAAAACACCGGCGAAAACCUGAAGAGGUUUCGCCAGCAAGACCAAAACCACCACCAGCACAACCGUGAUAUGAUGAUGAACAAUUUGGGAAUGGUGUGGCAUGAAUUGGAUCCAGCUUUUUUUAUGUUCG
This 307-nucleotide long non-coding RNA is filed under the name Trifolium pratense (red clover). RNAcentral describes it as "long non-coding RNA (TPRA_LNC002679)". The record is from RNAcentral. Lineage: Eukaryota; Viridiplantae; Streptophyta; Magnoliopsida; Fabales; Fabaceae.